CAAGAAGCUCUGGGAUCAAUUAAAAUGCCAGGCUUUUCCAGGCUGGUUUCCAGCGCAUCUGUGCAUGAUUCCACAUAAAUUUAGGGAAUUAGAGAUCAGACAAAGUUACAAGACAGCUGUUGAUGUUUCUGCCACCAGUAAGGAGGACCGGGAAGAAGCUGCUUUCCAGGAAAUCCCAGUCAACUUCCAAAUAGAUCUCUUUGGUCAAAAAUGUGUCACCCAUCCAACUCUUUUUGUAAGAUGAUGAGAACACAGGCAGGGACCACAUCUGACUUAUCUCUAGCUCCAGGUACUAAAGAGCCACUGGGAAGAGCUCAGUCAUAUAAUCCAAUACUAUCCAAAUAAACAUGAAUACAGAGUCCCUAUCCAAGGCAUUGAACAAGAACAUCAGGAACACUGCAGGCAGUCAAUAAAUAUUUAAUCAACAAAUAAAUGAGGUCUCUAAU
Cebus imitator (Panamanian white-faced capuchin) is the source of this 446-nucleotide long non-coding RNA. RefSeq lists it as uncharacterized. NCBI's taxonomy places the organism in Eukaryota, Metazoa, Chordata, Mammalia, Primates, Cebidae. The transcript has 4 exons. The record is from RefSeq and is a predicted model, not a curated record.